This 1261-nucleotide ribosomal RNA is filed under the name metagenome. Its description in RNAcentral is "SSU rRNA". It matches the Rfam family "Eukaryotic small subunit ribosomal RNA", at positions 526 to 1783 of the family's 1831-position model. The record is from RNAcentral.
UAAACGGACCAUCGAGUAUCCAUUGGAGGGCAAGUCUGGUGCCAGCAGCUGCGGUAAUACCAGCUCCAAUAGCGUAUAUUAAAGUUGUUGCAGUUAAAAAGCUCGUAGUUGGACUUGUGUGCGCUGUCCGCGGGUGGCCUGCGCCCAAAAGGGCGUUUCGGUUCGGCCCCGGUGGCGCCUUGAAAUCUGCAGCUGGGGGGACGUUGGCCUUAACUGGUCGGCGACCGCACGCCGGCUGCUCGGUUACUGUGAGAAAAUUAGAGUGUUCAAGGCAGGCAUUGGGUGCAAUUGAAUACAUUAGCAUGGAAUAAUAAAAUAUGGCUCCUGCCGUAUUUUGUUGGUUUUGACUGGUGGGAGUAAUGAUUGAUAGGGACGGUUGGGGGUGCUAGUAUUGAGCGGCCAGAGGUGAAAUUGAUGGAUACGCUCAAGACUAACUUAUGCGAAAGCAUUCACCAAGGACGUCCUCUUUAAUCAAGAACGAAAGUUGGGGGAUCGAAGACGAUCAGAUACCGUCGUAGUCUCAACCAUAAACUAUGUCGACUUGGGAUCGGCGGUAGUUUUUUCAUUAAGACACUGUCGGGACCACGGGAGAAAUCAAAGUGUCUGGACUCGGGGAAGUAUGGUCGCAAGGCUGAAACUUGAAGGAAUUGACGGAAGGGCACCACCAGGAGUGGAGCCUGCGGCUUAAUUUGACUCAACACGGGGAAACUUACCAGGUCCAGAGAUGUAGAGGAUUGACAGAUUGAAGCUCUUUCUUGAUCACUUCGGUGGUGGUGCAUGGCCGUUCUUAGUUGGUGGAGUGAUUUGUCUGGUUAAUUCCGUUAACGAACGAGACCUCAGCCUGCUAGUGUAGUCGGCUGGAUUGCCUUUGGCGAUCCGUGAUUUCGACUUCUUAGAGGGACAAUCGACGCGCAGUCGAUGGAAGUUUGAGGCAAUAACAGGUCUGUGAUGCCCUUAGAUGUUCUGGGCCGCACCGCGCUACACUGCUGGGCUCAGCGAGUUUUACUUGGCCGAGAGGCCCGGUUAAUCUUGUGAAAUCCCAGCGUGCUUGGGCUCGCCUCCUGCAACUGGAGGCGCCAACGAGGAAUUCCUAGUAGACGCAGGUCAUCAACCUGCAUCGAUUACGUCCCUGCCCUUUGUACACACCGCCCGUCGUUCCAUAAGAGUGAGGCAUCCGGUGAAUUCUCGGGAGAGCCUGGGCGUGGCCAGCAAUGGUCUGCUCGGGUUUGAACUUGCAUAAACUUGGUGCCUAUGAUUAGGG